GACGAACGCUGGCGGCGUGCUUAACACAUGCAAGUCGAACGGACGGGCCCUGCUUUUGUGGGGUGCACGAGUGGGGAACGGGUGGGUGACACGUGUGUAACACGCCCUUGUCUUUGGGAGAUCUCCAGGAAACAGGGGCUAAUACAGGAUAGGAUCUCCUGCUGCACGUUGGGGGUUGGAAAGUUUCGGCGGUUGGGGAUGGUCUGGCGGCUUAUGAGCUUGUUGGUGUGGUAGUUGCUUACGAAGCCUUUGACGGAUAGCCGGCCUGAGAGGGUUGACGGGGACAUGAGUCCUGAGAUACGGAGCAGUCGGCAACGGGAGGCAGCAGUGGAGAGUAUUGCACAACGGGGGGAAGCCUGAUGCAGCAACGCCGGGUGCGUAAUGACGGCCUACGAGGUAUAAACCGAUUUCGCCUGUGACGAAGCGAGAGUGACGGUAACGGGUAAAAAAGCACCGGCUAACUACGUG
This 468-nucleotide ribosomal RNA is filed under the name uncultured bacterium. RNAcentral's name for it is "partial 16S ribosomal RNA". It matches the Rfam family "Bacterial small subunit ribosomal RNA", at positions 28 to 507 of the family's 1533-position model. The record is from RNAcentral.